CCAGGCUCUUGUUUUAGGUCCCAGCGAUUGCCUCUGUUGUGAUACCUUCCCUGAUUUCCUCUAGCCCCACCACAGUGCCACGCUCAUUAAAGUCCCUAUCCCCCGAGUCUUGGUAGGAGGAUGGUUAUCUUGUUCACAGAUGUUUCCAGUGCCUAGAAUUGUGCCUAACUGUAGUUAAUGCUCUGGAAACAUUUAUUGGGUGAAUGUCUCCAUCUCUAGAAUGGCCAACCCAGUGCCUGGCCCACAGGAGGCCUCAGCAAACACUUGUUGUUCGGACAGAAGUCCAGGUCCCCUCAUUCACUUAAAUCCUGUUUAUCCUUCAAGGGUGAGUUCUGAUUCACCUUGUCCAGGGAGGUGACCCUGAGGCUGAGGCCUCUGUCCUGAACUUUCACAGCAGGCGACACACCACCCAACACUGGGACCCUAUGUGCCACCCUUUUCCCAACAGCCUGGGGACACCCAGUCCCACCUGCUCAAUCAGGUUCGGGCACCCAGUGUCACUGAGGUCCCUAGAAGCCCGCGCCCUCUCCAUCUUGCACUCCAGCUCCGGGCUGGAUUGUAUUCAUAUUUUAUUUUCCUGUUUCUGUUUUUAGUUUUUAUUAAAUAAAAGCAGAGGAAGAGGAAGGUGCACUGCGUGCUGGGCUUGAG
This 648-nucleotide long non-coding RNA is filed under the name Homo sapiens (human). Its description in RNAcentral is "HSALNT0261486". The record is from RNAcentral. Lineage: Eukaryota; Metazoa; Chordata; Mammalia; Primates; Hominidae.